AUGGUGAUGGGGGGGGUUUAAGGACCUGGUGGAGCCGGAGUGAGGCGUCACACGUUGUUCAAUCAGCAGGCCAUGACUGACUGACCGUCAUAGUACUGUAGGAGAGGAGACUAUUCUACUGGCUGACUGACCGCCAUAGUACUGUAGGAGAGGAGACCAUUCCACUGGCUGACUGACCGCCAUAGUACUGUAGGAGAGGAGACCAUUCCACUGGCUGACUGACCGCCAUAGUACUGUAGGAGAGGAGACCAUUCCACUGGCUGACUGACUGCCAUAGUACUGUAGGAGAGGAGACCAUUCUACUGGCUGACUGACCGUCAUAGUACUGUAGGAGUGGAGACCAUUCCACUGGCUGACUGACCGUCAUAGUACUGUAGGAGACGAGACCAUUCCACUGACUGACUGACCGUCAUAGUACUGUAGGAGUGGAGACCAUUCCACUGGCUGACUGACCGUCAUAGUACUGUAGGAGACUAGACCAUUCCACUGGCUAACUGACCGUCAUAGUACUGUAGGAGAUGAGACCAUUCCACUGGCUGACUGACCGCCAUAGUACUGUAGGAGAGGAGACCAUUCCACUGGCUGACUGACCAUCAUAGUACUGUAGGAAAGGAGACCAUUCCACUGACUGACUGACCGCCAUAGUACUGUAGGAGACUAGACCAUUCCACUGACUGACUGACCGCCAUAGUACUGUAGGAGACUAGACCAUUCCACUGGCUGACUGACCGCCAUAGUACUGUAGGAGACGAGACCAUUCCACUGGCUGACUGACCGUCAUAGUACUGUAGGAGAGGAGACCAUUCCACUGGCUUGGAGGAGGAGCCUGGCUGACUGACCGUCAUAGAUGCAUGUUUGUCCUCAUCUGGCACCGAGAAUGAUGAUCCACCAAUGACUUCUGACUUGUUGAGGAUACAUCUGCUCCUCCACGCCCUGUUGGUGUGUGUCGUCGUCGUCCCCCCCCCCCACUGUGAUACACAACUGACUGGACGGAGGGAUGGUGGAGGAAGAGAAGAUACACAACUGACAGGGCGGAGAGAUGGUGGAGGAAGAGAAGAUACACAACUGACUGGGCGGAGAGAUGGUGGAGGAAGAGAAGAUACACAACUGACUGGGCGGAGAGAUGGUGGAGGAAGAGAAGAUACACAACUGACUGGGCGGAGAGAUGGUGGAGGAAGAGAAGAUACACAACUGACUGGGCGGAGAGAUGGUGGAGGAAGAGAAGAUACACAACUGACUGGGCGGAGAGAUGGUGGAGGAAGAGAAGAUACACAACUGACUGGGCGGAGAGAUGGUGGAGGAAGAGAAGAUACACAACUGACUGGGCGGAGAGAUGGUGGAGGAAGAGAAGAUACACAACUGACUGGACGGAGAGAUAGUGGAGGAAGAGAAGAUACACAACUGACUGGGCGGAGAGAUGGUGGAGGAAGAGGAGAGAUUACGCUGUGGAGUUGACUUUGUUGUUCUGGUGAAGGGAGGGUCCUCAUAUUGGCCCCCAGAGAGAGAGAGAGGACAAAGCACUGCCUCUCUGUGAAAUCAUCUGCCCUUUCUGCACAAUGACCACAUCCAUCCUCCUUGCCAACCAUGGCCCUCUGGGAAAACCUGUGUGUGUGUGUGUGUGCGUGUGCGUGUGUGUGCGUGUGUGUGUGUGUGCGUGUGUGAGAGAGAGAGAGAGUCUGCUAGAUUCUGGGCAGCACUGAAGGAUUUGCAUAGACUGUUGAUUUUAAACUAGCAAUAUUUUAACCAAGUAUCGCCACAACAUUUAAAAUGAAGAAGAAAAAUACCAAGCAAACAUAAACGAGGAAUGCUGGUGGGGGGGGGGGGGUCUGCUGCACCUCUGCAUCGGUGAAGGAUACAGGAGAGGGCCUUCACUACCCCAGCAUCGCCCCGCUGGCUGACUGCUGCUGUUGAGCUUAAUGCAUAAAACAGUGUGUGUUAAUGAGUAGUGAGUUUAACGUGGACAUUUUUCUUCCUGUGUUUGGAAGAACCAGGCUUUUAUCUCUUUGUUUGUGAGCCAAAUAUUACAUAUAUAUAUAUAUACAUAUAUAUAUAUAUACUCUUUCAAGAUUUCAGAUAUGCCUUCUCAAGACCUUGACAAGCACAAACCUAUUAUUACUUACUAAUAUUUCAAAAGAAAAAAAUCCCGUUGUCAUUUCCACUUUGUUUUUAAGAGUAUAGUUUUUAAAUGGUGUUAUUUAUUGGUUUUAACUAUCUUAGAGACAACGUGUUAAAGGUCAGAGCACUAACGUGGAAGUGUGUGGUUAAAUGGUAUGUGUUCUAAUCUAAAGGCAACUUAACUUGGGUCAGGUCUUGUUAGGCCGUGCUAACUAAAUGGUGUUGUAAAAGAUGAAGUGUUGUAUGCUGCAUAGCUUCAGUGUGAAAGCUUCUCGGUAAUCGUCUUGUUUUGAAGACAAAAGAAUGUUUUAACUCCCUGUUGUAAAACAUCUCUUGUGACCUGACGAGACAGACGCUCUGGCUUUGUCCCGGCUGAGCUGACUGUACUAUUUACAGUGACGAUCAGGACAGGAAGAGGUUGAAGACAAAGAUGGAGGGAGGGAGGGGUGGUGUUUGGUAGAGUGAGAUACUGUUGGACAUCUAUAGGUUUGUGUCCCAAAUGGUACCCUAUGUAGUGCACUACUUUUGACCAGGGCCCAUAGGGACUAAUGCACUAUAUAUAGUAAUAAGGUUCCACUUGGGACUGUCCUCAUCUUUGUUCAGAUUUCCAAAAAGAAAGGUUGUUGGGGUAAAAAAAAUAAUAAUAUAUAUAUAUAUAAACAUAAAAUGUUACUCUGGGUGUGUUUUGUAAGUGUUGUGUGAGUAGGGGGACUCCUUUCUAUUCCCAACUACACCAAUAAGCACUGAUGGGCAGAUGUAACUUUUUCUAUAGCGAACGUGAGUCUCUUUGUGACGUGUGUUACCACCUUUAAAGAAUAAGAAAACAAAAGCCAUCUUGAUGAGUUUAAAGU
Oncorhynchus gorbuscha (pink salmon) is the source of this 2966-nucleotide long non-coding RNA. RefSeq lists it as uncharacterized. The record is from RefSeq and is a predicted model, not a curated record. The transcript has 2 exons. NCBI's taxonomy places the organism in Eukaryota, Metazoa, Chordata, Actinopteri, Salmoniformes, Salmonidae.